This 862-nucleotide ribosomal RNA is filed under the name Triticum aestivum (bread wheat). Its description in RNAcentral is "partial small subunit ribosomal RNA". Lineage: Eukaryota; Viridiplantae; Streptophyta; Magnoliopsida; Poales; Poaceae. The record is from RNAcentral.
GUGGGUGGGUAGCGAGGAGAGAGCGAGCAGAGAGGGAGAGGGGGCGUGGUGAAGAGCGGCGGUGGUGGUGGAUGUCACGGGGCUAGGGCGGGCUAAGGCCGCAGGACGCCGCCACGGGUCGUGUGGUGGCACGGGGGGAGAGUUGCGAGAAAAGAGGGUAGACCGGUCUAGGCCGCGCGCGUAGGAGGUCGCCGGUUCGCGCUGGGACGGGUCGUCGAUCCCAAACCCGGUCGUGUAGCAGCCUCAUCGAGGCCGCAACGAGGUCACUGAGUCUGGGUCGCGCGGUAGCGACGAGCUCGUGCCCCUGCGGUACCUACCCUUCCGAAGAAGGAGGGGGACAGAGCUACGGUACUUGCUGCGUCGAGGUGGUGAUGGGGUACCUCUGCCUCGAGGAAGAGGGUGUAGUGCGUACCUCGGAGGGAGUGUCGCGGACUUCGGGAUCUCCCUUAAGUUCCGGUACCGUCCUCUCUCUCCUCGACGAGGAUCAUGUCCUGCGGUACCUUCCACGACGAGACUACUCCUCUUUGACGACGACGUCCUGCGGGAGGAGGGGAGGAGGAUGGGGGUGUGCACAAUGAGCGUGUUGGGUGAAGCGUAAAGUCUGCUAACCUCCUCUUCUGCUCCCCUCUUCCGCUGCUGCGUCCGCCUUCUCAGUUACCGCAAGCGCCGACAGCCACCAAAAGCGGCCUGGCCUCGCCGAAGCGGCCUCGCGGAUGUCUAACUUCUUACCGAGCGUCGCUAGUAGUUUUGCUACUACUACUAAAGUACCUAAGUGGUGUCGUCUUAGUCCGUUGACCUGCCUCUUUUCUCCCGCUGCUCUUUUUCUUUGCAUGAGCGUUGUCCCGGAGGAUCCUUGCUGACU